CCUACGGGUGGCAGCAGUGAGGAAUAUUGGUCAAUGGACGCAAGUCUGAACCAGCCAUGCAGCGUGCAGGAAGACGGCUCUAUGAGUUGUAAACUGCUUUUGUACGAGGGUAAACGCAGAUACGCGUAUCUGUCUGCAAGUAUCGUACGAAUAAGGAUCGGCUAACUCCGUGCCAGCAGCCGCGGUAAUACGGAGGAUCCAAGCGUUAUCCGGAUUUAUUGGGUUUAAAGGGUGCGUAGGCGGGCGGAUAAGUUAGAGGUGAAAGCCAGAGGCUCAACUGCAGAAUUGCAUCUGAUACGGUCCGUCUAGAGAACAGUUGCGGUAGGCGGAAUGUAUGGUGUAGCGGUGAAAUGCUUAGAGAUCAUACAGAACCCCGAUUGCGAAGGCAGCUUACCAAGCUACUUCUGACGUUGAGGCACGAAAGCGUGGGUAGCAAACAGGAUUAGAUACCCUAGUAGUC
This 460-nucleotide ribosomal RNA is filed under the name uncultured bacterium. RNAcentral's name for it is "partial 16S ribosomal RNA". It matches the Rfam family "Bacterial small subunit ribosomal RNA", at positions 338 to 795 of the family's 1533-position model. The record is from RNAcentral.